CCUACGGGGGGCAGCAGUGAGGAAUAUUGGUCAAUGGACGAGAGUCUGAACCAGCCAAGUAGCGUGAAGGAUGACUGCCCUAUGGGUUGUAAACUUCUUUUAUAUGGGAAUAAAACGUUCCACGUGUGGGAUUUUGUAUGUACCAUAUGAAUAAGGAUCGGCUAACUCCGUACCAGCAGCCGCGGUAAUACGGAGGAUCCGAGCGUUAUCCGGAUUUAUUGGGUUUAAAGGGAGCGUAGGUGGAUGGUUAAGUCAGUUGUGAAAGUUUGCGGCUCAACCGUAAAAUUGCAGUUGAAACUGGCAGUCUUGAGUACAGUAGAGGUGGGCGGAAUGCGUGGUGUAGAGGUGAAAUGCUUAGAUAUCACGAAGAACUCCGAUUGCGAAGGCAGUUCACUGGACUGCAACUGACACUGAGGCUCGAAAGUGUGGGUAUCAAACAGGAUUAGAUACCCGAGUAGUC
This 460-nucleotide ribosomal RNA is filed under the name uncultured bacterium. RNAcentral describes it as "partial 16S ribosomal RNA". It matches the Rfam family "Bacterial small subunit ribosomal RNA", at positions 338 to 795 of the family's 1533-position model. The record is from RNAcentral.